GUCUGGAAAAUUUUUUGACCCCUAAAAUGGUACACUGACCGAAAAUUUUUUGGCGACGGGGGGGAGGGGGGUGGAGUGGUGGGAGUCGCCCAAAAAAUUUCCAUUAAAAAAAUAUUUUCCGGUAGAUUUUGAAGUUUUCCUCUAUAGAGGUGCCCUUGGUGUGCGUCUGCCCCCCUUUGCCUUAUUAUCGUUCCGGCGUCCCUGAUGAUAACUUAAUAAAAUUUAGUCAAACUUGGCAUGUUUACACUGUAAUGGGUGCACCUGCUAGUGAACAGUUCGGAUUAUUUAUGUUUUGCCAUAACAAAUAAUUAGUCCCCACUCUUUACUCGUUUAGCUUCUCUUCUUUUUUACAAAUUCCUCCUGUAGACUUUAGCUUACUCGUUUCAAUGGUUUACACACGGUUGUAAAUACUCGUUACAAUUGUAACGCGUUACUGUGUACUCGUUACAUUUGAAGUAAUUUUAACCUCUAAUUAAUUACGUUUUUAGAAAUGUAACGAAAAACGUAAUUAAUUACAAAAGCAAGGAACGUGUUCCUUUUCCAAGGAGCAAGUGUGGUAGAUUUUCGUUCGAUCCCCACAAUAAGAGCAAAUUACGCGUUAUAUCUUUUGUUUUGUAUUAUAAUCCCUUCCCAAAUCGCUCCCAGUUACAUAUAUUCCCAUGCAAUAACAACAUUAACAGCAUUCCUUUUAUCUCAUGCCUGUCAAUCAAUUCCAUAUAUGGUAAUCACCUCAUCUCUAAAUUUAACUACUAAUUAUUAAUGUCAACCUUUUUCCCGACACACUCCCCCUAUUUAGAACGUAAGUUUUAAAUAUAACUUAUCUGUCUUAUAUAUACACGAACGUCUACACGUAUUCACCGUCUCUACCCAUCACAGUUCUUCCUCUUCCUGAUCAUAAAUUAGUUCAAUGUUCUUCCUUGCAUCGACAGCCGCUCUACGCUUCGGUUUGAACUCCUUUGCAACAGGAUUCAAUGGAACAGUUUCUUGAUUACUUUCUCUAUCACAAUGCAAUUCCAAAGGGUAAAGAAAUUGUAUUGGUCUUUCCAUGAAUGAUUUUCCUGCACGUAGUCUAACUCCACGAACCACUCCGUCUCUUCCGGGUAUAAGUUGUUCAACAAUCCCAAUUUUCCACAGUCUACGAUUCUUUUCAUCACCUUUGAUUAGCAUAACAUCACCCUUUCGUAGCUCUCUCUCUUUCCCGUCAUGUGUUAAGUUAUGUCUUUCGCGAAGUGCUCUCAUGUAUUCUCGUUUCCAUUGUUGCCAUAACGCGUCCUUACAUUUCUUCAAAUAUCUCGCCCUCUUUCGCAGGUCUCGUUCUUCUAUAUCCUCAGGUGAUAACUCCAUAAGAUAAUUGGCUUUACCGAAGAUCAUCAUGUUCGGCGUCAACACGGGAAGUUGAAUGUCAUCCUCGCAGUACGAUAGUGGUCGAUUGUUCAAUACGAGCUGGAUAUCUAGCAUCACGUCUUGCAAUUCUUUGAAGGUAAGUUUGGCCGAUCCUACGACCUUGUAAAGAGCUUGUUUCACUAUGCUGACCAUUCGUUCGAACAUUCCACCCCACCAGCUAGCUUUGCUUAGAUUGAACUGCCAUUUCACACCAUGUUCACUCAGAUAGCCUUGUAACUUUUCGUUCAGUACGACUUUCUUGAUCCAUUUGGCAGCAGCCACGAAAGUCUUUCCAUUAUCGGAUAUGAUCUUCUUCGGACGACCUCUUGCUGCGAUAAAUCUUUUAAAACUCAUCAGGAACUCUUCACAGCUCAUGUUUGGCAGAAUCUCCAAGUGAAGUCCUCUAGUUAAACUGCAGGUAUAGAUGAGUAUAUAUGACUUACGCUCAGCUCCCCCAUUUCCCUUGUAAUAGAUUGGUCCGGCAUAAUCGACACCAGUUACUUCGAAGGGGAUUUCACCUUCAGUUCGUUCUUUUGGAAGAUUCCCCUGAGGUGGAGCGGGCAUCGGCGUUGUGUAAAAUCGUUU
RNAcentral lists this long non-coding RNA (1968 nucleotides) under Paramuricea clavata. Lineage: Eukaryota; Metazoa; Cnidaria; Anthozoa; Malacalcyonacea; Plexauridae. The record is from RNAcentral.